RNAcentral lists this non-coding RNA (21 nucleotides) under Caenorhabditis elegans. Lineage: Eukaryota; Metazoa; Nematoda; Chromadorea; Rhabditida; Rhabditidae. The record is from RNAcentral.
UCGUUUAAGUCUACUUUGUGA